Molecule: ribosomal RNA, 354 nt
Filed under: Escherichia coli
Lineage: Bacteria; Pseudomonadati; Pseudomonadota; Gammaproteobacteria; Enterobacterales; Enterobacteriaceae
Also listed under: 1 other name
Description: bacterial SSU rRNA
Rfam family: Bacterial small subunit ribosomal RNA
Source: RNAcentral
UGUCGUCAGCUCGUGUUGUGAAAUGUUGGGUUAAGUCCCGCAACGAGCGCAACCCUUAUCCUUUGUUGCCAGCGGUCCGGCCGGGAACUCAAAGGAGACUGCCAGUGAUAAACUGGAGGAAGGUGGGGAUGACGUCAAGUCAUCAUGGCCCUUACGACCAGGGCUACACACGUGCUACAAUGGCGCAUACAAAGAGAAGCGACCUCGCGAGAGCAAGCGGACCUCAUAAAGUGCGUCGUAGUCCGGAUUGGAGUCUGCAACUCGACUCCAUGAAGUCGGAAUCGCUAGUAAUCGUGGAUCAGAAUGCCACGGUGAAUACGUUCCCGGGCCUUGUACACACCGCCCGUCACACCA